This 406-nucleotide ribosomal RNA is filed under the name uncultured bacterium. RNAcentral's name for it is "partial 16S ribosomal RNA". It matches the Rfam family "Bacterial small subunit ribosomal RNA", at positions 30 to 526 of the family's 1533-position model. The record is from RNAcentral.
AUUGAACGCUGGCGGCAUGCUUUACACAUGCAAGUCGGACGAGUGGCGAACGGGUGAUUAACGCAUCGGAACGUACCGAGGAGUGGGGGAUAACUGACCGAAAGGAAAGCUAAUACCGCCUAUUAUUCGAGCGGCCGGUGUCUGAUUAGCGGGUUGGCGGGGUAAGGGCCCACCAAGGCGACGAUCAGUAGCUGGUCUGAGAGGAUGAUCAGCCACACUGGGACUGAGACACGGCCCAGACUCCUACGGGAGGCAGCAGUGGGGAAUAUUGCGCAAUGGGGGCAACCCUGACGCAGCCAUGCCGCGUGAAGGAAGAAGGCCUUCGGGUUGUAAAGUUCUUUUGGUGAGGAGGCGUUACCCACAGAAGAAGCACCGGCUAACUCCGUGCCAGCAGCCGCGGUAAUAC